GCCAGCCCUAUAAUCCAAUCACCUCCCCAAGCCCCACUGACGAUGGCAUGAGGUUUUCGGGGAUGUCUGAAUUUAAACAGUAACACCAGGCCAAGGCGAGGCGGGCACUGCUGAUGAGGCCUCCCCACACCAGCGAUGCCACCGAGAAGGCCUGGGGCACCUCCCUCCUGAAACUGUCAUCCUGGUUUGCCAGGACGCAAAGGGGGGACACAAAGGGCGCUCUGGUGACUGGGGAGAGGGGUGCGGACGAGUUAGAUGUCGGGCUGAUGCUCAGAGCAGGCAGAUGGAUCCGCCUCUGCACCCUGGAGGACCGAGCAGGUGACCAUCCCAAGGGAAGGAGGUUUCAGUCACAGAGUCCUGGAAACACAAGAACAAGAGGAAGGAUUAGGGACCCUGAAUUAGGAGAUACUGUCUUGGAGAGCAGGGACACACCAGGACAAACCUUCGCAGACCUUAGGCACAGCUGUCUCUACAGCAACCAAGCCCAGCCCACACAUUCAAAGGAGAAAACAUGGCGCCCAGAAGGGAUCGGAGCUCAUUGGAAAUGAACUUCCUGGUGCCCACAGCACCUUGUGGAGGUGACUUGUAGAAGACCUGAGCUCAGACCCUGGCUGCUUUUCACUACCACCCUCAGGCCCAUGACCUCAUUUCUCCUUUCUUCCUCUGCAACGGAGAUAAAAAUGAUCUCUUCACAGAGAUGGCUGUGGGAAGUGCCGGAAAGCAAGUAUACAGAUUCAUCUUAAUUCCUCAACUUCAAUCCCAUGUGCUUAGCAAACGACAACAACAACAACAAACUGUGUAAAGAAGGGGAUGAAAAGAAAAAUGCUUGUCAAAUUAACAAAAAAAUAUAAGGCAAAACCAGAAUAGAAUAGGACUUCCUUUGGAAUUGGAAAAAUAACUUUAAAAUUCAGACAGAAUAAUAAAUAUUCAAGAAUUGACAGAAAGAGUGUUGAGAAAUUUUAUUGAGGAGAACCUUAUCAUAAGGAAUUUGAAAAUGUAGCUCUAAAAAUACUACAAUAAACAUAGGCCUCAUUUUUGCACCAAAAGACGUAAACACAUCACUGGCUCAUAAUAGAGUCCAAAACUGGGCUCAAGGUGAGACUGUAACACAAGAUAAAGGCGACACUCAGUUCAGUAGUUUAUUUACUAAAUAUGUGAUCAGCUCUACAUCUGGAGUUAAUAAACUUAGAUCUUUCCUAUACAGCGUAUACAAUAAUAAUUUCCAUAUGGAUUGAAGAUUUACUAAAACAACUAAAACUUUUAAAAGAGUAAAUAAAAUAUAGAGGAGAGAAAUGCCUUAUUAGGUAAGGUGAACAGUGCUACAAAGAAAAUUACGGACAGAGACAGAUUUAAGUUCACAAGUGUUAAUAUUAAAAAAUGACAACAUAAACAGCAUCAAAAGACAAAGACCCCCCCUGGGAGGACAGUUUAUGACAAGGAUGAUAAAUGAAUGAAUAAGGCUUCUACUAAGGCAAAGAGAUCUUAACAAUAUAAAUUGGGAAGAAAAUGAGCAAUAGCCCCACUGGGGACUGCACAGAAAAAAGACUUCCACAUUUAGAAAUAUUUUGAAACACUUCUUCCAAGAAACUCAGCUCAGAAAAAUCUAAAAAUGCCUGCAGUAUUGUUGAAAUAUUUGUACACACUCGAUGGAGCUGACAGUGGUCAGGGAAAUAACGAGAGGGCAGAAAGGACAAGAGUGGAGAGCCAGGCGAGUCCGCAUUUAUGCCAAAGACAUCUUUUCACGCCUGGCGGGCAGAGCUGGGGUGUUAACAGCUCAGGAGUGCAGAGCAGGGCCUGGCCCUGGGACCCUAAAAACCCCAAUGGAAGCCAAAACCUCAAAGGGAGUACAUACAUGAUCUAGAAUAUGCCUUAAACAUAAGAGAACCGAAUCUUUAAGGGUAAAAGAAUAGAAAUAGGACAGCAUGCAAAUGUGAACCAGAUAAAACAGUGGCAGCUCUACAUCAAAGACUGUUUCAGACCAAGUAGUAUUCCCAGGGAGAAGCGUUACUGGAGUGGAGAAUUCUACUAAGGGUAUUUGUAAAGGAGAAAUCCCCAGGCUAACGUGCUGAUGGGACAAUUCACAAAAAAGCACUAAGCAUACAGAUCCGAAAAAUACACUUAAACUUGACCCCCAAAUCCAUAUAUAUGGAUAUCUAUACUCAAAUGGGAGAUCGUACGUAUGUGUGCAUAGCUAUAUAUGAGGUGUGAUAAAAAUACAGCAAAUAUUUAAAUUUUAAAACUUGUUACAGCAAAAGACACAUCACCAUUAAUUCCCCUCAAAAUACUCCCCUUCCUCUGAGCUCAGCCUGUUUCUCUGGAAGAGCUCUUUCG
Long non-coding RNA from Fukomys damarensis (Damara mole-rat), 2331 nucleotides. Lineage: Eukaryota; Metazoa; Chordata; Mammalia; Rodentia; Bathyergidae. The record is from Ensembl.